Molecule: ribosomal RNA, 484 nt
Filed under: uncultured bacterium
Lineage: Bacteria
Description: partial 16S ribosomal RNA
Rfam family: Bacterial small subunit ribosomal RNA
Source: RNAcentral
AUUGAACGCUGGCGGCAUGCUUUACACAUGCAAGUCGAACGGCAGCGCGGGCUUCGGCCUGGCGGCGAGUGGCGAACGGGUGAGUAAUGCAUCGGAACGUGCCCAGUAGUGGGGGAUAGCCCGGCGAAAGCCGGAUUAAUACCGCAUACGACCUGAGGGUGAAAGCGGGGGACCGAAAGGCCUCGCGCUAUUGGAGCGGCCGAUGUCGGAUUAGCUAGUUGGUGGGGUAAAGGCUUACCAAGGCGACGAUCCGUAGCUGGUCUGAGAGGACGACCAGCCACACUGGGACUGAGACACGGCCCAGACUCCUACGGGAGGCAGCAGUGGGGUAUUUUGGACAAUGGGGGCAACCCUGAUCCAGCCAUGCCGCGUGCGGGAAGAAGGCCUUCGGGUUGUAAACCGCUUUUGUUCGGGAAGAAAUCCUCUGGGCUAAUACCCCGGGGGGAUGACGGUACCGGAAGAAUAAGCACCGGCUAACUACGUG